This 520-nucleotide ribosomal RNA is filed under the name uncultured Paraglomus. RNAcentral describes it as "SSU rRNA". It matches the Rfam family "Eukaryotic small subunit ribosomal RNA", at positions 569 to 1096 of the family's 1831-position model. The record is from RNAcentral. Lineage: Eukaryota; Fungi; Glomeromycota; Glomeromycetes; Paraglomerales; Paraglomeraceae.
AGCAGCCGCGGUAAUUCCAGCUCCAAUAGCGUAUAUUAAAGUUGUUGUGGUUAAAAAGCUCGUAGUUGAACCUUGGGCCUGGCUGGCCGGUCCGCCUCACCGCGUGUACUGGUCCGGCCGGGCCUUUCCCUCUGUGGAACCCCAUGCCCUUCACUGGGUGUGGCGGGGAAACAGGACUUUUACUUUGAAAAAAUUAGAGUGCUCCAGGCAGGCCUAUGCUCGAAUACAUUAGCAUGGAAUAAUAGUAUAGGACGUGUGGUUCUAUUUUGUUGGUUUCUAGGACCGCCGUAAUGAUUAAUAGGGACAGUCGGGGGCAUCAGUAUUCAAUUGUCAGAGGUGAAAUUCUUGGAUUUAUUGAAGACUAACUACUGCGAAAGCAUUUGCCAAGGAUGUUUUCAUUAAUCAGGAACGAAAGUUAGGGGAUCGAAGACGAUCAGAUACCGUCGUAGUCUUAACCAUAAACUAUGCCGACUAGGGAUCGGACGAUGUUAUUUUUGACUCGUUCGGCACCUUACGGGAA